AUAAUAAUCUCUCUGAGGCUUAGUUUCUUUAUAUGUGUAGGUAAUGUCACUGUCCUGCCUAUCUCACAAGCUCAUUGGUGGGAGAUGUGAUAGAAUGAGACCAUGGAUGUGAAGACAACUAUAAACUGUCAAAAGUUUUCUGCAUGCACAGGAAUGAUGUGUGCUCAGGUCCCCUUUGCAAUACUCCUCUGCAGUGUGACUGCAUCAAGAGGGAUGGAAGAUUGUAGCACCAGGGCCCUGCCACCUGCCACCUCAAGACCCCACAUCCCAGGUACAGCAAGAACUGCUCCCCCUAUUUCACCAAAGGCAAUAUCCCUUUUAUUACCUUGUAAUCAGACCAACUAGUUUUUACUCUUUCCCCCAAAAUGAAGUUCACUUAUUUUGGAUGGAGGUCUGGGUCUCUGAAAAAUGAAAACAUUUUUAUCAUCAGUCCUGUUUUCUCCCUGUUUUCAUUUGUACCAGAGGGUGGGGUGGAAAUGAAGGGAGCCUUUCAAGGCUUAGGUGUCCAAAGAACAGAGCGAUUUGACCUGAACUGAACUUGUCAAGGAAUUACAGGUGACGACUUGGCUAAAGAGCUCAGCUUCAUUCAUCUGAUUACUUAUUUGCAUCAUUGACUAGGAAAAAAUAAACCUCAAUUCACUACAUUAGGUAGUGUCUGG
Molecule: long non-coding RNA, 659 nt
Filed under: Monodelphis domestica (gray short-tailed opossum)
Lineage: Eukaryota; Metazoa; Chordata; Mammalia; Didelphimorphia; Didelphidae
Description: lncRNA (ENSMODG00000044036.1)
Source: RNAcentral